This 1390-nucleotide ribosomal RNA is filed under the name bacterium NLAE-zl-P906. RNAcentral describes it as "16S ribosomal RNA". It matches the Rfam family "Bacterial small subunit ribosomal RNA". The record is from RNAcentral.
AGUCGAGGGGCAGCAUUUCAGUUUGCUUGCAAACUGGAGAUGGCGACCGGCGCACGGGUGAGUAACACGUAUCCAACCUGCCGAUAACUCGGGGAUAGCCUUUCGAAAGAAAGAUUAAUACCCGAUGGUAUAAUCAGACCGCAUGGUCUUAUUAUUAAAGAAUUUCGGUUAUCGAUGGGGAUGCGUUCCAUUAGGCAGUUGGUGAGGUAACGGCUCACCAAACCUUCGAUGGAUAGGGGUUCUGAGAGGAAGGUCCCCCACAUUGGAACUGAGACACGGUCCAAACUCCUACGGGAGGCAGCAGUGAGGAAUAUUGGUCAAUGGGCGCAGGCCUGAACCAGCCAAGUAGCGUGAAGGAUGACUGCCCUAUGGGUUGUAAACUUCUUUUAUAUGGGAAUAAAGUUUUCCACGUGUGGAAUUUUGUAUGUACCAUAUGAAUAAGGAUCGGCUAACUCCGUGCCAGCAGCCGCGGUAAUACGGAGGAUCCGAGCGUUAUCCGGAUUUAUUGGGUUUAAAGGGAGCGUAGGUGGACAGUUAAGUCAGUUGUGAAAGUUUGCGGCUCAACCGUAAAAUUGCAGUUGAUACUGGCUGUCUUGAGUACAGUAGAGGUGGGCGGAAUUCGUGGUGUAGCGGUGAAAUGCUUAGAUAUCACGAAGAACUCCGAUUGCGAAGGCAGCUCACUGGACUGCAACUGACACUGAUGCUCGAAAGUGUGGGUAUCAAACAGGAUUAGAUACCCUGGUAGUCCACACAGUAAACGAUGAAUACUCGCUGUUUGCGAUAUACAGUAAGCGGCCAAGCGAAAGCAUUAAGUAUUCCACCUGGGGAGUACGCCGGCAACGGUGAAACUCAAAGGAAUUGACGGGGGCCCGCACAAGCGGAGGAACAUGUGGUUUAAUUCGAUGAUACGCGAGGAACCUUACCCGGGCUUAAAUUGCAUUUGAAUAANUNUGGAAACAGGUUAGCCGCAAGGCAAAUGUGAAGGUGCUGCAUGGUUGUCGUCAGCUCGUGCCGUGAGGUGUCGGCUUAAGUGCCAUAACGAGCGCAACCCUUAUCUUUAGUUACUAACAGGUCAUGCUGAGGACUCUAGAGAGACUGCCGUCGUAAGAUGUGAGGAAGGUGGGGAUGACGUCAAAUCAGCACGGCCCUUACGUCCGGGGCUACACACGUGUUACAAUGGGGGGUACAGAAGGCAGCUACCUGGUGACAGGAUGCUAAUCCCAAAAGCCUCUCUCAGUUCGGAUCGAAGUCUGCAACCCGACUUCGUGAAGCUGGAUUCGCUAGUAAUCGCGCAUCAGCCAUGGCGCGGUGAAUACGUUCCCGGGCCUUGUACACACCGCCCGUCAAGCCAUGAAAGCCGGGGGUACCUGAAGUACGUAACCGCAAGGAG